UUGCUGUGCACUACUUAGUAC
RNAcentral lists this microRNA (21 nucleotides) under Physcomitrium patens. RNAcentral describes it as "ppt-miR898a-5p". Its record names the gene ppt-miR898b. The record is from miRBase by way of RNAcentral. Lineage: Eukaryota; Viridiplantae; Streptophyta; Bryopsida; Funariales; Funariaceae.